Tachyglossus aculeatus (Australian echidna) is the source of this 138-nucleotide small nucleolar RNA. The record is from RefSeq and is a predicted model, not a curated record. NCBI's taxonomy places the organism in Eukaryota, Metazoa, Chordata, Mammalia, Monotremata, Tachyglossidae.
CCCCUCUCUGGGUUACACCUGGACAGUUUCUAGUACUCUACCAGCCUUGGCUAUGUGAGAGAGAGUCAAGCAGAGGCAUAUCCGUUCCAUUCCUAGCUUGGGCAGUGGCUAGUGAGUGGAAGGCAAUCUGUUACAAGG